RNAcentral lists this long non-coding RNA (898 nucleotides) under Homo sapiens (human). Its description in RNAcentral is "long intergenic non-protein coding RNA 158". Lineage: Eukaryota; Metazoa; Chordata; Mammalia; Primates; Hominidae. The record is from RNAcentral.
GACUUCAUCAGGCACUGCUAUCAUGGGGCACUGGUAACAAAUAAAUAUCACUUUGGAGGCCAUGUGCAGAUCAGAUUUGGAAGUGACCAAGACUGGAGGCAGGGACACCAGAGUUUUCUGUUAAAAACUGGUCCAUGCAAGAAAAGAUGACUCCUGAAAUAAGACAGUGAUCAUUAGGAUGAAGAGGAAGAGAAGAUUUGAGGAAUACUUAGAACAGAAUUUACUGAAUUUACUGGUUGAAUUGAAUGUGAAGAGGAGAUGAAUAAAGAAGAAAACACCCUCAAAGGGAACCCUGAGCAGAACACAUGCACAAACUCAUGCCAUACCCUAAGGGACAAGGUUCCCCACAUCUACUUGGAAAUCUUUGGGAUGCUCAAUGGAGAAAAACAAGGAGAGAAAAAUCUAAACCCAGCAGAAGAGAAAGUUUAAGAAAGCGGUCGUCGCCAAUACCAAAAUUAGCUAUGAUAUUCAGGAAGAAAAAAAUGGAAACACGAUAACCACAGUCAAUAAAGACCAAGGCCACAUUCCAUUGACCAGAGCUCAGCCACGCGCCACACCUGGCUAAAGAGACUCUGGCUGAAGAAUUCCCUGAAUAUUUUAAUGUAGCUCUAGGUUAUAACACAGAACAACCACAAGGUGGCAGAAGAACUCCAUUCUUGUAAAUCUCUUAGUUGCUUCUUUAUUUCAUCUUCCCUAUUCCAUCUAAUGUUCCCUGAAUUUUACUAUUUUGUUGGUUUGAAAAUAUGUGUGACUUACGUCCUUUAAAGGAUUUGGUUCGUAAGGUUUUGAAUAGACUGGAAUAUAAAACAUUUAUAGAAAAGAAAAAUACCUACAGUAUGAUGUUAGUGAACUAUUAAUAAUCCAAUUAAAUAAAAUAUAUUUGCUUUGGAUUAAUACA